AGCGAACGCUGGCGGCAGGCUUAACACAUGCAAGUCGAACGCUCGUAGCAAUACGGGAGUGGCAGACGGGUGAGUAACGCGUGGGAACGUACCCUUCGGUUCGGAAUAACUCAGGGAAACUUGAGCUAAUACCGGAUACGUCCGAGAGGAGAAAGAUUUAUCGCCGAAGGAUCGGCCCGCGUCUGAUUAGCUUGUUGGUGAGGUAACGGCUCACCAAGGCGACGAUCAGUAGCUGGUCUGAGAGGAUGAUCAGCCACAUUGGGACUGAGACACGGCCCAAACUCCUACGGGAGGCAGCAGUGGGGAAUAUUGGACAAUGGGGGCAACCCUGAUCCAGCCAUGCCGCGUGAGUGAUGAAGGCCUUAGGGUUGUAAAGCUCUUUUACCUGGGAAGAUAAUGACGGUACCAGGAGAAUAAGCCCCGGCUAACUUCGUGCCAGCAGCCGCGGUAA
This 451-nucleotide ribosomal RNA is filed under the name uncultured bacterium. Its description in RNAcentral is "partial 16S ribosomal RNA". It matches the Rfam family "Bacterial small subunit ribosomal RNA", at positions 29 to 523 of the family's 1533-position model. The record is from RNAcentral.